RNAcentral lists this ribosomal RNA (342 nucleotides) under Triticum aestivum (bread wheat). RNAcentral describes it as "partial small subunit ribosomal RNA". The record is from RNAcentral. Lineage: Eukaryota; Viridiplantae; Streptophyta; Magnoliopsida; Poales; Poaceae.
AUGGAAUUGAUGGAAUCAGGAACAUCAUAUUGCUUUCAAGUUGAUCAACCUCUGCCCUUUAUUCAUGGAAGAAGCAGCCGAGUGAGGACGACCUGCUCUCUUCUCUAUCUGGUAUAUUGUCCGGUUUGGUACCUCAUGUUGGCAUGGAAUUUAAAAAUUCAGAUGAAGCUUGAGCAUUUUGGCUUAUCUAUGGUCGUAAAAAGGGCUUUGGGGUCAGGAAAAGGUGCACGAACAAGAGAUCCGCCGAUGGCAAGGUUACUUCAUGCCAAUUUAUUUGUGCAAGGAAAUGGAAUGCUUAAUCUCUUUUGCCAAACAAAAUUCAGUUAUCCUUAUCAAGUCUGA